GACAAGCAGCAGUCUCUACUCAAACUGAGGCUUGAAUCUGCCUUCAGCCCUCUCUUCCUCAGACAAAGAACUCAGCUUACCUCGAAGUUCAGUGACCUUGGCCAUUGUUGGAUACUUCCAUAUCACUAGCUGAUUCUGCGCAAAGCCAUGGCCUGAAAUGAACUCUUUGUAGGUUGUUGACCACAGGAUAGAACAGACCUGCAAAGAGGCAGAAAUACCAUGAAGACACAAGCUACUUGUGCUGAUACUCAUCAGCAAGGAUGAGCCCCUGCUGGCUCCCUGACCUUUCCCAGGGCCCAGGCACCAUCAUGUGUGCCAGAAAGAAUUUAUCACGAGGAUGUUUAUGUCUCACCUGGGAGUGGGCAUCAACAGCACUGAGACAGGUGCCGGAACAGACAUUCCAGAUGCGGAUGUGUCUGUCACUGGUUCCACCUCCAGUGGCUAGAACAUUUGACUGCCAUGGACACCAUGCCACAGCCUGAGGAAGAAACAGUUCAUUUUAAGUAGUACAAAAGGCAACCUGUCCCCUAUUGCAUCUUCCAGAGCUCAGGCCACAGCAGCUUCAGGGCAUUCUCCCUCCAACAAGGCAGGGUUACAGCAAGUGCUACACACCUGCCUUUCACACAGACAUGCUCCCACACUACACACAGCAGACCUGCACUCACCUUGACAGCACCCUGGUGCUGAGUGAAGGUCUGUACAGGAGUGAAGUCUCCACUGUCUCCCUGGACAGAGGGCCAGAUGUUCACCAGGUUGUCAUUGCCACCACUGGCCAGGUAGCGACCAUCUAGAGACCACUUGAGUCCGCACACCUCUUGUGUGUGGCCAGUAAGAGUGGCCACAUGGUGCUCAGCCACUCUGACAUCAUGGUGGUGGAUGUGGCCAGUUCGUGACCCACUGCAGAGAGGAGGUUCACAGUGUCAGACUAGCUCAUUUUCACCAAAAGCCAUUUUUGUGCUAUUGCAAGGCUGCCUUUUUUGCCACUGGGUUUCAACCAGUGUUGAUCACCAUCACUGGCCUGUUGACAUGAGCAGAGCAGCCACAGAACCUCUUCACAACUGACUGUGUCCAGCUGGACACUGCUUCACCCCCAGCUUUACCUGGAGAGGAUGUAGCUGUUCCAGCUGAGGGACCCCACACGAGAAGAAUGGCUGGUCAUACUUCGAAGACGCUUCUGCUGCUGUACAUCCCAUAGCUAGAGAGGCAAGAGUAUUAUGUUCUCCAGAGGGUAAGGACCAACAGCAUUGUUGCUUUGCCAGGAAACCUUACUACAUAGGCUCUGGCAUUUGACCUUUUCAGUAUGGGAGCAGCAGUUAAUUUCUCACAUACAGAACAAAGUUAUUCCAGAAAUGAGAAAAUCCCUAAAGUCUGCCUCACUACUGCAGUUUGUCACUGACCACAGCUGGAUGGGGACACUUCCACUUAUGCUAGUCUUAGCACCCUCAGCAUCACAAGACAGAGACUGUAACUACUAAUAGUCACAAGACCACAGCAAGGAUUACUGUGAUUACAAACUACUUAGGAUUUGUGCUACCUUAUGAUGAUGUGAGCAUAAGGACACCUUCAGACAAUCUUGCUCUCUGACAGAGAAGCACAGCAGUGACAAGUUCCCUACAGGCCUCUGUCACAAGUCAUCCACUUCACUCUUCUGCUCCCACAGUGGGCAGCAAUUCACUGGACUAUAACAAGUCCUAGAACACUCCUCUCCCCUGUGCUUAAGACAAGUCAGAAUGUAUGAAAGAUACAACACUGUAUCUUUCCUGUGCUAGCCAAGACUUUGUUCCAAGGCCCCACAGCUCCAGCAAUCCUUGGACAACACCUCUCAUCUUACUGCACUCACCUGGACCUCAGCAUUUCUUGUACCAACAGCAAGGUAGUUUCCUUCUUUAAUCCAUGACACAGAGGAUACAUAAUCAUCUGGAUUCUCUAUCUGCAGCAGCUGAAUGAUUUCCCCAGUAGAGUGAUUCCACAGAUAAACACAGUUGUCCAGAGCCACUGCCAGGAAGUUCUGAGAGCUCCAGUCAAUGAGAUUCAGAUAAUAGUCAUUGCGAAUCUCUGGUGCAUCCAGGAUCCUGUCUGGCAUUGAGGGAAUGUAUCUACCAUGCUUCCUACUGGAAGCAGGUGUAGUCUUCUGGCUGUAGAGCACUUUCAGGUUGUUCUGAUAGCCUUCUGGAGCAUUCUGUGGCUUUCCACUAAGGCGGAGAAUCUUAGCCUCUUCUACAUCAAAGCCAUUAAGAUUCAUUGCCCAGGAUUUCUGUUGCUCCUUCUUGGUAGGGGAAUUUUCAGCAGGGUCGUUUUCUUUGGUUAGGAGGAAAUUGGCCAUUUCCAUCUGCAUAGUGCUGCGGUUGGGAAUGUAGCGGUCCCCUCCAGCUUUUGUUGGGGUGCUCUGGACUUUGGAUCCAGAUUUGCCGGGAGUCUUGGACGGCGUCUUGCUGCCGCUGUACGAGCGGUUGGCCGGCUUCAUGGGCGACAUGCUGGCGGCGGGGCUGGGGCCGGGGCCCGGGCAGGCGCUCUCCUUGGCCUUGCGCUGCCACCGCGCGGGCGGGGCGUUGGGGAUCGGCGUGUCCAGCUUCAGCAGCCCGUGCAGGUCCGCCUCGAACACGAAGUGCGCCAUGGCGCUCCGCGUCCCCGCUCAGCCUCACGCAGCACCCCCCCGCCUGCGCUCACUUAGGCUUUUAAACCCCGCGCGGCCUCCCUUCCCAUUGGUCGCUUCAAAUCUAACCCUCCGCACGCUGUCAUGGCGACCCCGCGCAGCCGCGCUGCGAUUGGCUGAGCCGCAGAGUGGGGCGGGGCUUUCCCCGCCGGGCCGCGGUCCGCCCGGCAGAGGGUCGAGGUACGAGGAGUGCGCCGCGCACGGAGCCGGGGAUGGGGCGGGGCGGCGCCGGCGUGAAGGAGCGAGGAGACGGCGUGGUUGGUCUGUAUUUUAUAUCCCGGGGGGAAAAGGGGCCGAGGGCUCUCCGCGCGGCUCCCAACCGCCCAUCAGCAGGUAGGAGUGGUUGGCGAUGUCCGUGCUGGGCGCCGGGCGGCUGGCAGCGGGCUCCGGCGGGGGGUCCCCGGGCUCGCCGCGGGGUCCGGGCAGCACCUCCAGCAGGCAGGGCAGCACGGCGUCCUCCGGCGGCUGCUUGUAGAAGGCGCUGGGCUGGGGAGGGCGGAGGAGAUGCGCUCGGGGCGGCCCGGGGGCUGCGGGACGGCCGGAGGCGGCCCGGCCCGGCGCUCACCUGGCCCUGCUUGGGGCUGUCGUGCAGGAAGGUGCCCAGCGCGCGGUGCAGGUCGGGGACGGGCGGCCACAGCCUCUGCUUCACGCUGCUGAGGGGGCAGCGGGGCGGUGUGGGCAGACCCCCGGCCCGGCGCACCCCGCCGCCCGCAGCGCGGCCUUACCUGUACAGGGAGGGGAAGGUGCACCGCAGCCCCAGCAGCACUCCCGUGAAGAUCAGCGGCGCCACCGUCACGCUCGGGAUCACCCAGCCUGCGACGGAGCGGCGGGUCUGCAGAGCCCGCUGAUUCUCCUCGGCCCGCCCUCGGGCGCCCUCAGCCCCCUCCCGGCCCUUACCCGCCUCAGCCGCGACGUCGACCACGACGGGCUGCGACCACGCGCUCCAGCUGCCCUGGUACUGCGGCCCGCCGGGCUGCGCCCGCACCUGGGCACGAUAGCGGGCACCGGGCCGGAGGUCCAGCACUUCCUUCCUGGCCGCCCGCGGGACCUGCAGCACCUGCGGGCAGAGCUGAGCUGGGGCUGUGUGGGGCCUGCGGCUGCCCCGUGUCAGCCCCUGCAUCACCUUCCACUCGAGGCUGUUGUCCGUGGCGUAGCGGACCUGGUACUCCAGCUGCUCCGCCAGCGCCUCCAGGGGCGGCAGCCACUGCAAGCUGAACCGGCCCUGGGAUGCCGUCGCCUGCACGUGCUGCGGGGCCUCCGUGAGCACUGUGGGAUGGGGACGUGUCGCUGCCGUGGGACGGGACCCUGCCCCGAGCGAGGGAUGUGGAGUGCAGGCACUCACCGGCCUGGUGCAGCCAGAAGGGCUCCUUGAAGUAGCUGAGCACGGGUGGCUCGUGGAGCCGAGUGACGUUCACCAGGACGGCAAUGGGGCUGCCGGCCGUGGGCUGGAAGGUGCAGGCGUGGCUGCCCUGUGUCCCCGUGCUGGCAUCCUCACACUGCUGCCACGUGUCCUCCCUGUGCGGCAGGGAGUGGGCAGCCGGUCACCCUGCGGUGCUGGCACUGCCGCCAUCGCUCUCUGCAUGGGGCACAGCUCCGUGUCAUUGCUGUGCCCUUUACCUCAUGCCAGCCCCACUCGGAGAUGCCCGGUAGAAGAGCUCAUGGGUGCUGUGGUGCUCUGCAGGGUCCCAGCUCCACACACAGCGCACACACCGCAGGUCGGGAGUGCUGCAGUGCAGCCCGAUGUCCCCUGAGCGGGUGAGAGCCAGGGCAGAGUGGGCUGCUUCCUCCCAGACCCCGCAGAACCCAACUCCCGUGUGCAGGCACUCUGCGGCCCCCAGCAGCGGAGACAGACGGUCUCUCACCAGAAGAGUGGGGCGUCUCUGCGACCACCACCUCCGACCAGGGCCCCCAGACACCAUCCAUAGAGGUGCCGUCGGGCUUGCUGCGCACCUGGAUGUGGUACCUCACCCCCGGCUGCAGCUCCCGGAGAACCACCCACGUGUCGGCCUGCACCAGCCCCUAAAGAGAGUGGUGAGGGUGGGGGGCUGCCACGGGGCCCAGAUCCCACAGCCCCUGUACGUACCUGCCCUGUUCCCUGGGAGGCCGCAGCUCCCCUGGCUGUGGGUGGGUGGGCUCUGCCGGUGGGACGGGCGGGGAGGUCCCCGGGUGCCGUGCCACGGGGUGUCACUGUGGGGGUCAUGGGGUGGUAGCACACCUCGUAGAGGAAGAAGUUGGGGUAGUCAGCAAGUGGCGGCUGCCACGACACACGGAGCUGCCCUGCGGCUCCAGCCCAGCGGGCACUGAUGUUCACGGGUGGGGCGAUGAGGCCUGCAGGAAUGUGUUGAGGCAUCCCCAGUGUUGCAGCAGCCGCAAGGCCCAGAUACUGCCAGCGGCGGGUGGGAAGAGGAAGGGGCAGCUGGGUGUAGGCAUCGGGGUCGUGCCACGGGAGGGACUCACCCACGGCAUCCACGCUGAGCUCCCGCCUGUGCCUGGUCCGGUUGGUGGUGGUGUCCAGGACAAGGACGUGGAGCGGGGUGAAGAGCCGCACGUCCUGGCUGGGGAACACGCAGAUGUGCCGCAUCCCACUGACCCCACUGCGCUGCGUGGAGACUGCACACGUGGUGGGUGCAUCCCUGAGGAACAGAGGGGGGUCCUCCAGCACCCUGAGCCCGAGGGCAGCUGGAGGGAGGGGAUCCGGGCAUGGCAGCGGUCCCUCAGUGUCACCGCUCCUUCCCACAUCCCCGCCGGCUCUACCUGCUGUACCAGUAGUAGAAGCGGUGUAUGGCGCUUGCCUCCUCCUCAUCCCAGAAACACGUGAGAUCCUCGAAGGAGCGGGAGAAGCAGAGGAUGUCCUCGGGCACCUCCGCCAGCAGCGCGGCAUCUGGUGGGAGGGUGGGCAUGAAGGAGCCCUUGGCUGCCUCAUCCCCUGCAUGGCCCCUCCUGCCCGAGUCCCCCGCCAGCACCAGGGAGGGAUGCAUACGUCACCACUGUUCCCCCUCCCCAGCACACGGGGUCCUCGGGACAAACAAACAUCCCAAAAUAGCCCUGCGGUCAGAGGGGCUCUGGAGAUCAGCGGGAAGCACCCCGGCUCGGCUCACUCCGGAAGGCACGUGGAAGUGCGAUAAGGAGAGCAGUGCCCCGGGAGAGGCAAGGGCCUGGGGCUUGUGUGGGGUUUGCAGUCCUGGGCAUGGGGGGAUGCUUGGCAACAAAUGGGCUCUGCUGGGGGGCUCUAGGCUGCCCCCUCCCCCUCGCAUGUUGAUCUCCUUCUUGUUGCAGGGGUGAACUGGAGCAUCACACCUCACCGCUGUGCUGCUGUCUGAUCCCGCUCCAGGUGAAAGGACUGAGCACAGGAAUGCCGCCCUCCCCACAUGUCUGCCAGGUGUCCCCCUCCUCUCCCUGCCCCUCACGUUGCCCUGACCCCUAGCCCUGUUCCUCCUUUCCCAGAUGGCAUCUCCUUCCUCCCCAGCCACACGCCCUGCCCGCAGACCACAGCCCGCUCUCUCCUACCUGCCCUUCCCUUUUUGCACCCCCAGCCACCCCAGCCUCUCUUGACCUUCCCCAGCACUGUCCCCUCUCAGCCCCAGAGUGGCACAGGCACCUGCAUGCCCCUGCUCUGGCCAUGGCCUGUGGGUUCCCAGGCUACCCUCAUGGCACAGCUCUGCAGCUGGCACAAAGCAAGCUCAGGCAUUGCGCUGGCACUGUAGCAGUGGUCUCUGGGCACAGCAGUAUAGUGUGAGCCCAAAGCCUCCUUUCCUGCCUCUGCACCAGUAGGGGUGACUUAAGGGGUGCUCCUGUGACCACUGUAGCAGUCUGACCACGGAUCUUGGAUGAGUGUGAAAACAGGAGCGUGAGAUCAAAUGUUUUGUCCAGUUAAUACUUUAUAUAGUAUUAUAGAAAGAGUGAAAGGGCCUAAAGAGAGAGCUUAAAGCAUCGGUGACCCUGCUGGGGCUGGCUCAGAGCUGGAUGGAAAGAACCCGUGGGGUGCUAAGGUGGCACCAAGCUGGGCAUCGCCGCUGCGUUACAUGUAGGAGCAGCAUGAUGUCAUGGGGCUGAGGGCUGCCGCCUCAAACUGGUGGCUGGCAGCUGCAGGAAGCAGGGCAACCCUUUGUUGCAGGCACCCCGGAGUGCCCCAUGUGUGCCCAAACGCAUCCUCCAGCAGACCUUCCUGGAGCCCCCUCCCUCAUCUCGCACCUCCCUGGCUGCUGCAGGGUGAAGCUCCCUGUGACCCACCCGUGGGAGAACCAUGACCCCAGGACCUACCUUGGGAUGUCACUGGCUCGGUGUCCGUGGCAGGGCUGUGCCGGCUCAGCAGGACGGCAGCGAGCAGAGCAGGCAGCCAGCCCUGGUGCAGGCAGGCUGCCAUCCCGCCCGUCAUGCUCGGUACUUCCCAGCACCCUGGCUGCUGCCCCAGCUCUGCAGGGUGAUACCUUUAUCUGGGAAGUGUAGGCUGUGCUGCUCAGGAAGCCUGGCUGGAGGCUCCCCUCACCCCAUCACCGGCACUUCCCCGUGCCCAAAACCACCGCUCUGCAGCCCCUUCACCAGCAGCCACAGUGCCAAGAGAGACUGCUCCCAUCAGAUAGGCAGCACGUCCUGCCCUUGUGGCUAGCGGCAUGGGGUGGGAAGAAAAACAGCCACUGAGGAAGCAGGGAGGCCCCUUCUAUGGGCUGGGCGGACUGUGGGACUUGGGGACACCCGCACCCUCGGUGACAUGUCACAGCUCAGGGUGUGGGACGGUGGCUCUGAAUCCAUCUCACCCUGCGCUGCCCCACUCUGUGCUGCUCUGUGCGGCCCCGCUGUGCCACAGGCAGGUCGGCAUCAAUCUCCCCCACGGCACUGCCAUCCUGGGGGCAUGGAGGGGAAGGGAGGAACAGUUUGUCACGUUGUUUUUUUUCAAUCCAGUCCCACUUCCUUCUCCAUCUGGUGACCGGGCUUUGCAGGCAACAAGCACAAACCCUUUGGUUCAGCAUAACUGCCCCAUGUGCCGUUCACAGCUCAGCAGGCAGGUGCAGAGGUGGUGGCACACUGGAGCAGCUGCUCCCUGUCACUGCUUCACUGGCAACUUCAGUGGUGGAGCAGAGGAUGCUCAUCAAUGGCUGCAGCUGCCAAGUAGCACUGGAGGCCAGAACGGGGAAACUGAAAUGGUACUGACGCAUUUCAAAUGUGAUCUGGGGAAAAGAGGCUGUUCCCCAGAAAGAAAAAUGCCUUGCUGUGGGGUCACACACAGCACCCCAUGGGCACGGGCUGGGGACUGGGCACAUCCUCCAGAAAAGCAUCAGCUCCCCAUCCCUCCACUGGAGCCAGCUGUCCCUUGUACAAUGUUUAUUGACCAUAAAACAUAGCCAUUGAGUUCCAAGGGGUAGUGCUGAGCUGGAGACUGUGCACGUCCUUCCUCCUGCACUGGGGCUGCUGCAUCCCAUGCUGGAGUUGAUGAUCACUAUCUGCUUGCAGUGGAAUAAGCUGAGAACUGCAGGGCAGGGAGCUGCCGGGUCUCUGCUUCCACCUCUCACCCUGCAGUUUGGGUGUUUGUGUCCUGCCAGGGCGUGGGCUGCAGCAUCCCCAGCUCCUGGGGGCCGGGCCCUUCUCUCUGCUACAGACACUGUGUAGGGCACACAGCUGGCACUUGUCCUUUGAGGCUGUCGCUACGUGUCCCCCAGCCAGCGUGCAUCAGGAGGCAACUGGGAAGGGCACAGUGCAGUCCUGCUAAAGGGAGGAUGCUCUCCAGAGGGGCCACUGUUGUUCAGCCAUGGUCACCUGCUGGGCAGGGAUUGAAGGUAACCCCCACAGCAGUGUCCCAGCAAGCUGGGGGCUGGUGUUGCCCCUCCGCCAUGGGGGCACAAGCUGGUGGGAACUGCAUGGAGCUGGGUGCAGCCUCAGGCCUCCUCCGCGGUGGCAUCAAUCCCUGCGUAGGUGAAGUUCUCAAACAGGGCCAUGUUCACGUAUGCCUGCAUGGGAACACAAGUCAGGUGCAGGGGAGAUGCUGAGGUGUGCUUGGUGGGGUUCCACGGGGACGGCUGGCCAUGUGGCCACUCACCUUCCUGGCCUCCAGCAUGCGGAUGAGCUGCAUGGAGAUCUGGGCAAAGGGUGGGCGCUCGUAGGGACGGUCGCGCCAGCACUGCCUCAUCAGCUCGUACCUGGGGGCAGAGAGCGAGUGUGCACGGGGUGGGGUGGGCAGAAAGGCUGCUUGUGGGACACUGGGAGAAGCGGGCAGGAGACAAAAGCAUGGGGUAGAAGGCAUGGGGCUCUUCUUCCAGUUGUGGUGCACAGGGGACCAGGAUGGGCUGCCAGAAGCCAUCAAGAACCCCCACAGGUAGCAUGGGGGAUGCAGGGCACUCUGCCAACUUACACCUCAUCAUCACAGUUGCGGGGUUUCUCCAUGCGAUAGCCCUGGGGCAGCUUCUCGUAGAGCUCAGCACACGUCAUCCCGCAGUACGGCGUGCCCCCUGCAGCCACAUACACACGUGUGGUUGUGGUGGGGGCAUGAGGUGCCCUCACCCCCUUGACCCCAGCCACUGCUCCUCUGGGUUGUCCCCUCUAGAGCUGCAGGAGGACUUGCAGGGACCCGAGUGGGUGAAGGGGACAAAAGAUGAGCCUUACCCAAGCUGACGAUCUCCCAGAGAAGGACGCCAAAGGACCACCUGAAAUAGUAGAUUAGGCUGUGAUGGAGCCAGCAGCCGUAUCCCACUCAUGGGGAGGGGGACAAGCUGAAGGGGUUCGUGGUGAGACUGGAUGGGGCCAAGAAGAGGGACAGCGGUGGCUGUGUCUGUGUCCCAGCCCCGGCGUCUGUGGACUUACACAUCGCUCUUGGUGGUGUACACGCUGUAGUUGAGGGACUCGAUGGCCAUCCAACGAACUGGCAAGCGGCCCUGGAGAAACAGAAGGUGACCCUCAGGGGACAUCCCAAGGGAGGAGGGAGGAUGGUGCAGCUGUCUUCCAGCUGGCUUCCCACUAGUGGGAGAUCCUGCCCUCCGCAUCCAUGAAGGCUCCAUGGAGUCUCCUAGCUCCUCCCUCACCAUUGUCUUCUUCACGUAGACCUCCUCCCCCCUGGAAAGGCCAAAGUCAGCGAUCUUGGAGGCCAGGUUUUCUCCCACCAGGAUAUUCCUGGCUGCCAGGUCCCUGUGAAUGAACUGCUUCUCACUUAGGUACUGCAUCCCCUUGGCCACGUCUGAAGCGAACUGGAGGAGCUGCUGGGAGGUGAGGGUGGACGCGGUGCCAUGCUCCUUGGCAAAGGCUGGGUCGGUCUCCAGGACUCGGCUUUUGCGGAGGAAGUCGAGGAGGUUUCCAUAGGGGGCAUACUCGAUGGCAAUAUACAGGUAACCUGUGGGCAGGAAGAGGCAGGGCUUAGGCUGUCUCCAGAAAAGGGCAGUAGCCAGCGAGGAAGAGGGGACGGCCCUCACCCUUGUUCUCACAGGCGCCUAGCAAGUUGAUUAUGUUGGGGUGAUGGCCCAGCUUGCACAGCACCUCUAACUCUCCAGCAAAGUCCCGGUGGUCAUUCUCUGAGGCGAACUCCUUCAGCAUCUUGAUGGCUGCAUUCAUUUUCAAGCCAUCUUUUUUGAUCAUGGCCCUGAUGACCUGCCCAAAGUUCCCUUCCCCAAUCAUGUCCUCAAACUUGAUGUCCUCCCACUCCAGGAUGGGGUAGCUGAGGGGUUCGGGCUGUGGCUUGGGCCGGCGCGUCAGGGUCAGGGUCCCUGAAUUGAACUGCAGGAUGGUCUCUUCUCCCUGCAAGAGGGCAGCAGUUGAGGUUAGAGGCAUCGGGCACCCCUCUGCCCCACGGCGGUGCCAACAGGGCAGGUAUCACGGGCAAGGGUGGGCUCCGCACCCUCUCUGUGUGGAGGUGAGGUCUGGCUGCAUCCGGACUGGAGGCUAUGGAGCGUGACCUGGAUCGGGCUGGGACGUGGGGAGCUGGGGACACUGUCCUGGCAGGGCAGGCAGCACUCACCGAGCCAGACUGGUAUGUGAAGGUGCGGCGCCGGUGGAAAAAGUUCUUCUUGAUGAGAAAAAGUGCCAGGAGGGCAAAGAGGAUGGUGAGGCAGGUGACGGACACGGAGCCGAUGAUGGCCAAGAGCAGCUGCUGGUCUACUCCUGCCUGCUCGGUGCUCUGGCUGCCCAGGCUGGGUGGCACACUCAGUGCUCCUGCCAAAAAGAAGGGUGGCAGUCCAUGGCUGAGCCUUGCAUGGAGCUGCAUGGAUGGCUGAGCAGCAAGACCUCAGCCCUGUACCAGCAUGCUGGGAGCCCAUGCAGACACCACAUCCCACCCACAGCUCCCAGUGCCAUGAGGUGAAGUUGGUAGUGCCUGGACUGCAGAGGUGAGACACCCACUGAGGGUCUGGGUGCAGGUACAUGCUUGCAGGGACUCCCCACUCACCAUCCCCCAGGGUUUUGGCUUUCACCAGCUGGCUCCACUCCCCUGGGACAUGGGAGUUGGCCCGGACACGAAACUGGUAGGUGGUGCUGGCGUUGAGGCCUCCAAUGAUCUUGGUGGUCUCGGCGCCAUUGUCGGUGUCAAUCCACUGGGGCUCACUGGUCCCCCCCACCUGCUGCAGCUCCACAAUGUACUUGGUGAUGCCCCCGUUGGGGUACUCGGGGACCUGCCAGUAGAGCCUGAUGGCUGUGUCAGACACAGACUCUGCUGAGAGUGACCGUGGGGAGGAAGGCCCUGAGAAGAGAAGUGGAGCAUUAGUACCAGCACAGGGCUCCUGAAGCUGCAAUGGCUGAGCACUGACGGGAGAACAAGCCCCCUCCAGCUCCUGUCAACAGCAGUGGUAACCAGAGCUGUGCCAGGCUUGAGGGACCUCUACGGACCCUCUGCCUAUGCUUGCGUGAUGUCAGGAGGUGAACAUGGACUCGUGUUUCUCAGGCAUCUUAUCAUUCCCACUUCCUCUUCUGAGCCUUUUCCACAUCCUACAGCACACAUCCCACAGUUACCCAAAGCUCUGAAAGUGCAGAGCAGAGAAAGCAUUACAUCCUGCAGACCUGACACGUAACAACCCUCCCAGCACGUACCAGACUGCACUCAACCUCACUGAAGCCACACGUCCUGUGCUCUGCUUCCCCCUGGUCUACCAGAAAGGUUGGUCAUACUGAUGGGAUGUGGCCAUUUGGGGAAAUUACCAGGGUUAAUGCAAGCAAAAGGAAACUACUUUUUGUGCAAAAAAAAUUUUUUUUAAAGUAAUUGUAUUGAGAAACUUCUUACUACAGGGUGUUGUAAAGGCAGCAAGUGUAGACAAGUGUGACAGAGCAUGGGUGUGGGCAUGAAGGAUAGAUCUAUAUUUGGUCAUCAUUCAUCAUGACCUGAAUGCCACAUUCAGGAUGUUCCUCGGCUGCUUUGUGCUGGAGGCUGUUGGAUCCAGUGAGAACACAAGGACUGAUUUUGCCAUGUAGCUGGCAUCUACCCUCAAGUGACUGUUUGUAGUCUACCAGAGCUGGGAUACAGGACCAGCCAGACCCAGAGAUGGUUGCUCUUACAUUUAUCACCAGUUUAUUGUUAGAAUUCCCUGGAUUUCUUUUUUUCCUUUUCUCCUUUCUAAAGCCAGGUUGUAUACUUCACCUCCUCAUUUUAAAGGAGGGCUAUAAGAAGGAAGGGGACAGACUCUUCAGCAGGGUCUGUUGUGAUAGGACAAGGGGAAAAUGUUUCAAAGCAAAAGAGGGGAGAUUUAGAUUGGAUGUUAGGAUGAAUGUCUUUACAAUAAGGUGGUGAGACACUGGAACAGGUUGCCCAAAGUGGUGGUGGAAACCUUGUCCUUGGAGACAUUCAAGGUCAGGCUGGAUAAGUCUCCGAGCACCUAACUGAGCUGUAGGUGUCCUUGUUCACUGCAGGGAAGUUGGACUAGACAGCCUUUAAGGGUCCUUUCCAGAUUAGAAGAUUCUACGAUUUUACAGGGCUCUCUCAUUCUCCAUGAGGUGCAUAUGGGGAAUGACUCCUAAAGUCUCCCACACUCUAGGGCAAGAAACCCUCCCACCCCAGCCCCACGUCACCCACCUUUGCUGUUGAUCAUGACCUUGUAGAGGUCAGAGGGGGGCCCCAGGCUGGUGCAGUGGUACACCAGCACCUCCAGCCCAUACUCCUUGUUGAACUCCAGGCCCCCAAUGUGGGCAGAGAGUACGGAAAUGGACGUGAUGUUUUUCUUGUAGACCAGUUGCUUUGCGGAGUCGAAGAGAUGGACGAUGAAUCCAUGUGCUGGCUCAUGGUUACUCGGCAAUUUCCAGUUGACAUGAAGGGUGUUCUUCUCCUCAAUGGACCAACCUUCAAUCACAGGCUUGACUGUGGGCUCUAGGCACUCAGUCACCAUGACGGCCUCAGGUCCCUUGCUGCCCUCACCACCAUCCCCUGGUCGGCUCAGCUGUACCUUGACAACAUAGGCGGUCACCGGCCGGAGGUUCAUGAGGGUGAUGUUUUCACUGUUGUCAACUGUUAACCAAGAGGACAUAUCAAAUCCAUACCCCCAUCCCAUCACCAGUGUCCUCCCAGUGUCACCACAGAGGGUCUUGCUGAGCAAGAUGGAGACCUCUGCACACCCCAGGCUCUUCACAGGAGCCACGUACCCAUCCUGACAGCCACAUACCCACAAUGGACGACCACACCGAGGCAUCAUCCUUGGGCUUGUAGAGUAACUUGACAGAGACAAUGGGCCCAUCACCAGAGAAGCAGUCCACAGGUGACACCACAAGCUGGCGACUCUGCUUGGCCAGCAGCCGGGGGGGGCUCAGGGGUGCUGGUGGCACUGGGGAUGAAAGAAGGAAUUAUACCAGUUGGACUGGGAGCAACCAGGAGCAGAGUAUGAGGACAUCUCCAGUUUCUUGGCUCCUUCCAGCUUUGGCGGGUAGGGGAAGACCCCAACAAAUGUUUUAUCACCACUCAAACCUGACUGUUGCCUCUGUGACACAAGAUGAGUGGCAUGUAGUCCACUUGUGGGGGGUCUUACUGCCACACUGUGACCCAGCACCCCCAGUUCUUUCCUCACCUCGAAUGUUGACCUUGACUUUCCGGCUGUCCUGGCCCCCAGUAGUAGAGACUCGGCACUCCCAGAGCCCUGCGUCGGCCUUCGUCAGAUGCUGCACCUGAAACUCGCACGUGAUCUGCCCCGACUCUAUGAUGGCUUUGACCAGCUGUGGGCACAGAGGUGCUAUCAGCCACCAUGGCAACCAGGGUUGCCACUUGGUGGAGUUGUCACCCACUGUGUUGGGGAUCCUGUGAUUUGGGUGCAGGGACAGUGCCAAAAGAUGGGAGCGAGGUGAAAACACGGGGCUGUGGGCAGUGGCUUCUGAGGUACCUUGAGCAUGGUGCCAUCAGCCUUGCGCAGCUCCACACCAUCACUUGCAGGCAGUGGGUUGCCAGUGGCCACGCAGCUGAUGAUGGGCUCUGAGCCCAGGUUGAACUCCAGCUCCGAGGCCAGUUUGAUGAUCUGGGGGAAGCGGUCUGGUGUGGAGAAAUCAGCAUUAGGGCUCAUCCCACUUCUCCCUGUUCACUAAGAACGUUCAGACCUUUCCCGGUGCUGGGGGUCAUGUCUGAGCACUGAGGUCCAGCUCAGAUCCACCCCUCACUCUAGGCUCAGGGAUGCUCGUUGGCACAGCUAAUUUGGGAAAGCCAGACUACUUUCCCUCUUGCAGCACCACAGUUUCUAUGGGGCUGGGGGCUAUUUUUACCAGCAAGGCAGGCUGCCCACCUGGCUGUGGAGAUUGGUAUCAGCCCCCUUUAAUGAGGAAGAAGCUGGAGCCCACCCACAGGGGACAAAGCCCCUCUGUGGCCCUGUGCCAGCCUCACCUGACUUCUCGCAGUGCUGCCCAUGCCAGCCUGCAGGGCAGACACAGCCACUGAAGCGGUUACAGCUGCCACCAUUCCGGCAGGCACACAUCAGAGCGCAGUCGGGGCCAUAAUAUCCUGGGGGACAGGCUGUGGGAAGAGGAGAAUCCACUGCUACCUCCGGCCACACUGUACAGGUGCACGUGCUCAGCCUGUGCUGGCGCUCAAGCCAGCAGGCAAGGCAGGAUACUGCCCAUGUUCCCAUACCUUGGCUGCAGCGGGAGCCGCUCCACCCCGAGGCGCAGGAGCAGCCAUAGGGGUCCGGCAGGCAGAAGCUCAGCCCCCUGCAGCCCUGGGCUCUCUGGCACGUCUCCUGACAGUUGCGGCCAAACUGGCCUUCCCGGCAGGCUGGAAAACAAGUGCUUCAUGGAGCUCCCCAGCACUAUCCCUGGCAGGCAAGGAGCUGCUGCCCCAGUGUUUGUCCUGCCAAGGUGAUAGAAGUAGGGGGCACUGGGGAUGGGCAGAUGCUGGGGGUGCUGUGAGUUUCUGGCCACGGUGACAAGAUCUUGGAGUGCAGUGGGACACAGCUUGUCCCCUUGUGGCAGAGGCAGCCGCUGGACCUACCUCUCUCACAACGGGUGCCUGUGAAGCCAGGAGGACAGAUGCAUUCACCGACGUGGUCAUGACAGAUGCCCCCAUUCAGGCAGUCAGGACAGUCCUUCUCACAGGACGGACCCCAUUUCUUUGCAGCACACGCUGCAGGGAGAGCAGAGGGGUGUGGAGUGGCAUUGGGCCAUGUGUCCCCACAGUAUGGGAGGGGACAACGGAGUGCCACUUCCCCAGCCCCACUUACCUCUGACGAUUAGCCUGUAGAAGGCACUCCACAGAGGGCUAUCUCCCAUGAAAGUGGCACUGUAGACACCAUUUUCAGUUACGCUGACAUUCGGGAGUGUUAGAGUGAAAAGGUCACCCCGCACCUCGCCCCGGUCCGUGGUCUGGUAGUAGGUACCUGCAGGGAGACAGGGGGUGACCUGGGGACUGCUGUACCCUGCGGUGGGGGAGCGAGGGCGGCUAGGAGCAGGGCACUGGGUGGUGGCACUGGGUGGUGCAGGGCACUGGGUGGUGGCAGCCCUGCUUGUGAAGCCACUUGCCAUUUCUUUUCCACAUGACAUCCAUCUCCUUCCUCCUGAGGACCCUGGCGGAGAAGGUGGCCGGCUCGCCGACAUUCACAGACUGCGUGGCCUUCACUGGGAAGAGGUGGGCUGCCAAAGAGAAGGAGGAGCAGGCUGAGGGCAGUGCCUGGGUGGGCCGCCCCGCUAUGCAGUCCUAACACACCUCUCCAUGGGGACAUCACCACGCACAUCUCCAUCCACACACCUCGGGCAGAGGAGCCACAGGGAACCAGGGAUGGCACCCAGGGUUGGGGUGUCCUGUGCUGUCCCAGCACGGGAUGCUGUGACAGCAGCCUGGGGAGAUAUGACAGCAUGAGAUGCUGCUUGCUGCCAGACUGGGAGGUGUGUAGGCAAGAGGCAGGACCUGUGUCUUUGCCUGCCUCUAGCAGAGCACUCAACAUGUUUACCUGAUUUCCCAGGUGUUGGGGUAUGCACCACUCUCAUAGCUAUACUGUGAGUCAGCCUGGACACAGCUUUGAGCCUAAACCAGGCUAUAAAUAUGUUAAGGACUGGGAAACCAAGCCCUGGGUGUGCCAGCAACGACACAAAAGAGGGCACACUCAGAUACUGGCUGCCAGAGCCUCCCAGUGUGCCAGAUCGCACGCCCUGCAACUGGCUGUGCUGGGUGGGAGCAGUGGUGCCUGCAACCCAGCAUUCUUCCAGCUUAUAUCUAUUUAUUCUGCCGUGCUCAAUAUUGUUCUCCCAUGGGUUUUGCAUCUUUAGCCACGGUCCUGCACUGUAGCCACAAACGCACUGCUGCAGCCAGGGUCUGAUGCCCUGAGCAGAGCACCACAUCUCACCCCGAGAACCAGAAGCUCCAACAACCACAGGUUGACUCCUGCUGGCAGCACACCAGCAGCCCUGCAGCCUGACUGCUGGCACCACUGCAAGCCAAAGGAGAAGUCCUGGCAAUGCUCGUUUCAGCUAUUUAUUGUCUGUCUUCUCUUAUCAGUGCUGUAAUUUUAGACAGAUCCUCUGACAGAUUUCCUGAAGUUCCCUAUUGUGCUCACAGAUGCGAAAAUAAAAGAAUUUAAUUUUUUUUCUGCUGUGGCCUCUCCGGGCACCU
Molecule: long non-coding RNA, 16628 nt
Filed under: Gallus gallus (chicken)
Lineage: Eukaryota; Metazoa; Chordata; Aves; Galliformes; Phasianidae
Source: RNAcentral